RNAcentral lists this ribosomal RNA (253 nucleotides) under uncultured bacterium. RNAcentral's name for it is "partial 16S ribosomal RNA". It matches the Rfam family "Bacterial small subunit ribosomal RNA", at positions 524 to 776 of the family's 1533-position model. The record is from RNAcentral.
UACGGAGGGUGCAAGCGUUAAUCGGAAUUACUGGGCGUAAAGGGUGCGUAGGCGGUUGUCCAAGUCUGCUGUGAAAGCCCCGGGCUCAACCUGGGAAUGGCAGUGGAAACUGGACGGCUAGAGUGUGUCAGAGGAAGGUGGAACUCCCGGUGUAGCGGUGAAAUGCGUAGAGAUCGGGAAGAACACCAGUGGCGAAGGCGGCCUUCUGGGGCAACACUGACGCUGAGGCACGAAAGCGUGGGGAGCAAACAGG